GGGGGGGGCGGGGGGGGGGGCUGACACAGGCAGGUCGAGCGGCAGCGCAGUAGGAGCUUGCUCUUACGGGUGGCGCGUGUCGGACGGGUGAGGAAUACAUCGUAAUCUACUUUUUCUGGGGGGAUAACGUAGGGCAACUUACUCUCAUACCGCAUACGACCCACGGGUUAAAGCAUGGGAUCUUCGGACCCUGCGCGAUUGCAUGAGCCGAUGUCGGAUUAGCUAUUUGGCUGGGUAAAGGCCCACCAAGGCGACGAUCCGUAGCUGGUCUGAGAGGCUGAGCAGCCACACUGGAACUGAGACAGGGUCACGACUCCUACGGGAGGCAGAAGUGGGGAAUAUUGGACAAUGGGAGCAAGCCUGAUCCAGCCAUAACGCGUGGGUGAAGAAGGCCUUCGGGUUGUAAAGCCCUUUUGUUGGGAAAGAAAAGCAGCAGGUUAAUACCCCGCUGUUCUGACGGUACCCAAAGAAUAAGCACCGGCUAACUUCGUG
RNAcentral lists this ribosomal RNA (492 nucleotides) under uncultured bacterium. RNAcentral describes it as "partial 16S ribosomal RNA". It matches the Rfam family "Bacterial small subunit ribosomal RNA", at positions 35 to 507 of the family's 1533-position model. The record is from RNAcentral.